RNAcentral lists this ribosomal RNA (450 nucleotides) under uncultured bacterium. Its description in RNAcentral is "partial 16S ribosomal RNA". It matches the Rfam family "Bacterial small subunit ribosomal RNA", at positions 338 to 795 of the family's 1533-position model. The record is from RNAcentral.
CCUACGGGCGGCUGCAGUAAGGAAUAUUGGUCAAUGGACGAAAGUCUGAACCAGCCAUGCCGCGUGGAGGAUGAAGGUCCUCUGGAUUGUAAACUUCUUUUAUAUGGGACGAAAAAAGGCCUUUCUAGGCCGUCUGACGGUACCAUAUGAAUAAGCACCGGCUAACUCCGUGCCAGCAGCCGCGGUAAUACGGAGGGUGCAAGCGUUAUCCGGAUUCACUGGGUUUAAGGGGGGCUGAGAAGGGAUGAGUGAAAUCUCCGAGCUGAACUUGGAAACUGCCAUUGAUACUAUUAAUCUUGAAUAGUGUGGAGGUUAGCGGAAUAUGUCAGGUAGCGGUGAAAUGCUUAGAUAUGACAUAGAACACCAAUUGCGAAGGCAGCUGGCUACACAUAUAUUGACACUGAGGCACGAAAGCGUGGGGAUCAAACAGGAUUAGAUACCCUUGUAGUC